RNAcentral lists this long non-coding RNA (215 nucleotides) under Volvox carteri. RNAcentral describes it as "long non-coding RNA (VCAR_LNC000314)". Lineage: Eukaryota; Viridiplantae; Chlorophyta; Chlorophyceae; Chlamydomonadales; Volvocaceae. The record is from RNAcentral.
GAUUGUCAAGGGCUUCCAUUCGCCAACUUCUACUCACGUUUCAAGGUUUGAGCUGAAGUUUUGCAACUUUUGCACAACCACAUACAUAGUCGGCUUCCGGUGCCCGGUAUCGUGCGAAGUGGCUUUCAGGCCCAGCGGGGUGCCUGAGUGUGCUGUUUUCCUCCCCAGCGAUCCUUAUUACCGGUGCCAGAAGCUGCAUGCGAGAACUGCAAACU